UACGUAGGGCGCAAGCGUUGUCCGGAAUUAUUGGGCGUAAAGAGCUCGUAGGCGGCUUGUCACGUCGGGUGUGAAAGCCCGGGGCUUAACCCCGGGUCUGCAUUCGAUACGGGCUGGCUAGAGUGUGGUAGGGGAGAUCGGAAUUCCUGGUGUAGCGGUGAAAUGUGUAGAGAUCGGGAGGAACACCGGUGGCGAAGGCGGGUCUCUGGGCAUCUCCUGACGCUGAGGCGCGAAAGCGUGGGGAGCAAACGGG
Molecule: ribosomal RNA, 253 nt
Filed under: uncultured bacterium
Lineage: Bacteria
Description: partial 16S ribosomal RNA
Rfam family: Bacterial small subunit ribosomal RNA
Source: RNAcentral